Molecule: long non-coding RNA, 1544 nt
Filed under: Oryctolagus cuniculus (rabbit)
Lineage: Eukaryota; Metazoa; Chordata; Mammalia; Lagomorpha; Leporidae
Description: lncRNA (ENSOCUG00000036569.1)
Source: RNAcentral
AACAUAAAAAUGUUCGAGGGCUUCUGGCUUGAAAUACCCUCUUUGAGAUCCAUAUUGGGAAGGUGGGCUUGUAUUUUAUCAGCGUGUGUGUGUAUCUGUUUCAUUUGUGUAGGUGAUUAAAUCCCUCUGGAUCUUUUUUCCCUAAUAGGAGGGGAAUUGGGAAUUCCUUCCGGUUUGCCAUCUGUGGGAAUGACAGGAGAAGAAAGGACCCCUUUAGGGAGACUCAGAUACUGGCAGCAACCGGAAGUCUCUUUUAGCUACUGCCAGCCAAAUGCAUCCUGUCAACCCUAAGGGGCCUUGAGGACUCUCCUUGAGAGGUGUUGAGGGGCUAUUGUUCUCUGCGCUCCUGCUCAGACCUGGGCUUGUGCCCUGCUUCAGAGAGGGGCUCAUCCCAGAGAGUGGGACCCAGAGCUUCCUCCUCCAACUCCAGCCCUUUGUCAGCAGCGUUUGCUUUUUGUAAUUCUCAAGGAACUCUUUGCUUCUGAAGCUGAAACCCAUGGCAGGUGUUGACAUCCCUAAGCCAUGGGGCCUGAUGCACUUGGCUCAGAUGGCCAACCUGCACGCGUACGCCGGAUCCCGUGUAGUUGUCCUGGCUCUUUCUUCCUUUUCCCAACCGAAUCAGGUUUCAGCGUGACACCCACUCCUCCUGCUCUACCAGCUGCGUGGGUCUCUUUAUGUCCAGAACCGAGUUAGAAUUCCAUUGCUCUUUUCUGAUUCCACGGGGAUGAUGAAAUCUCUCCUAGUUCCUUGAAGACGGCGCCUGGGGCUUCCUCUUCUUACAACUUUCCUACAGGAACUAGGACAACUUUCGGCAAAUUAUGUGCUUAACGAGGUCUGCAGAGGCUCUGUGGGGAAAGACUGCUCCGUUCCAGGAAGAACCUUUGGAAUUCCAGCUAACAUUUCAUCAUUCUGACAUGGAAUACUGCAGGCGUUCGGGUCAAAAUAUCAUAUGCCAUAGCCAGCAACCUCCACCAUGCAAUCUCAUUCCACUUCCUCUAAAAUAACUCAGAUGGCACAGAAAACGAAGACAGAGAAAAUGUGGAAAUUUACAACAGCGCCUAAGAGGAACACCGAUGGAUAAGAAAUGCCAGAAUCUUGGAGGAAUCCCUGCUCAUUAUCCCAGUGGAGGAGGCAAAUGGAGUAGAUUGAAGGCAUGCCUUAUGGCAUAUCCGGGUUUUAGAGCAUGUUCACAGUGACACAUGAAAAAUCUAAGAGACGAAACAGUCUCUGCUCUUGCUUCCUUCAGGCAGAGACCCAGGGUUUGCAGCCAUUAGAUUACAGGGUGUAGUUGCCUCCCUUGGCCACGUUGAUCCAUUAAGUGGCCAAAGAACCCUCUUGCCAUUACUUCCCCCAGCCCACUGUGUCUUUGUGCAAGCAAAAGAGGGGUGAAUUGCGGACCACAGUGGGGGGGGGGGGUCAGGAACGCGUUGAUGAUUAAAGAUCGUCUCUGUUUUGAUAGGCGUUAUGUCUUAUUUUAGUUUGGGUCCCUCCAGCAGCAGACAGUGAGACAAUAAAGCCAAUCGUUUAUGUUGGAGAGGAUCGCA